Pelobates cultripes (western spadefoot toad) is the source of this 563-nucleotide non-coding RNA. The record is from the annotation of a GenBank genome assembly. NCBI's taxonomy places the organism in Eukaryota, Metazoa, Chordata, Amphibia, Anura, Pelobatidae.
AUAACCUUUAUUGAAAUACGUAUAGAAAUAAUAAUAGAAGUAAAUAUAAAUAAUGCCAAAUGUAUCCAAUGAAAAAGGAGUGGACUAAAUGUCCGUAUGUGUUAAGGGGUGGGGGGGAGAGACAGUCAACUGGAAUAGUGUAGAUGUAUGUCUAGAGUAAAGAUAAACAGCCUAUCCAUAUAUUUUUUAUCCCAAUGUGUGCUGUAAAGGGAGCACAAUAUAGGAGAAAUAUAUAUGUAAAGAUAGGUGGAAAGAUGACAGCAUGAAUGAAUAAAGGGUGUAAAAAGAGGCAGAAACCUAAAUAGAGGUAAAGAAGGGGAAUAAACUAGGACUAUGAUUCUAGAUGUACACAUAGGUCGCCUAAAACACCCCUUCACAACACUGCUCCAACUUAAACUACACCAUACAUCUAACAGCUGCUUCAAGGCAGCCUAUCCAUACCCCCUUAUUAGCUAAAAAGAGCCAACAUAAUCACUCAGGGACAUCUCCAAGCUAAAUAGAAUGAAUUACAUAAAGCUAAAUUCUGCUAAAGCUAAAGUCUCAAAUUCAGUAAAUUAGCGUCG